This 515-nucleotide ribosomal RNA is filed under the name uncultured bacterium. RNAcentral's name for it is "partial 16S ribosomal RNA". It matches the Rfam family "Bacterial small subunit ribosomal RNA", at positions 28 to 523 of the family's 1533-position model. The record is from RNAcentral.
GAUGAACGCUGGCGGCGUGCCUAAUACAUGCAAGUCGAGCGAAUGGAUUAAGAGCUUGCUCUUAUGAAGUUAGCGGCGGACGGGUGAGUAACACGUGGGUAACCUGCCCAUAAGACUGGGAUAACUCCGGGAAACCGGGGCUAAUACCGGAUAACAUUUUGAACCGCAUGGUUCGAAAUUGAAAGGCGGCUUCGGCUGUCACUUAUGGAUGGACCCGCGUCGCAUUAGCUAGUUGGUGAGGUAACGGCUCACCAAGGCAACGAUGCGUAGCCGACCGGAGAGGGGGAGCGGCCACACUGGGACGGGGACACGGCCCAGGCUACGACGGGAGGCAGCAGUAGGGAAUCUUCCGCAAUGGACGAAAGUCUGACGGAGCAACGCCGCGUGAGUGAUGAAGGCUUUCGGGUCGUAGAACUCUGUUGUUAGGGAAGAACAAGUGCUAGUUGAAUAAGCUGGCACCUUGACGGUACCUAACCAGAAAGCCACGGCUAACUACGUGCCAGCCGCCGCCGUAA